This 209-nucleotide unclassified non-coding RNA is filed under the name Hevea brasiliensis (rubber tree). The record is from RNAcentral. Lineage: Eukaryota; Viridiplantae; Streptophyta; Magnoliopsida; Malpighiales; Euphorbiaceae.
GUAUACUUGUUUAGGAAACUAGCAGCAGAAGCUGGUUCCUGGUAGUUAAAGUCAAGGCUUGUGGUUGCCAGCAUAUGGCUUUAGAAGGGAAUUACAGAUUGUGAAGGGGAAUUUUUUUCCCACUUUAAGAAGUUUUGGAGGUAUGUGAAUGUCAGUUUGUCAUCAUACGCCCUUGUUAGUGAAUGAUUCUUUUUAGUGGAAAUUCUUGU